RNAcentral lists this transfer RNA (83 nucleotides) under Mesorhizobium escarrei. RNAcentral describes it as "tRNA-Leu". It matches the Rfam family "tRNA". From Rfam's summary of the family: Transfer RNA (tRNA) molecules are approximately 80 nucleotides in length. Their secondary structure includes four short double-helical elements and three loops (D, anti-codon, and T loops). Lineage: Bacteria; Pseudomonadati; Pseudomonadota; Alphaproteobacteria; Hyphomicrobiales; Phyllobacteriaceae. The record is from RNAcentral. RNAcentral also lists the same sequence under 43 other names.
GCGGGUAUGGCGGAAUUGGUAGACGCACCAGAUUUAGGUUCUGGCGUGAGAACGUGGGGGUUCGAGUCCCUCUACCCGCACCA